This 675-nucleotide ribosomal RNA is filed under the name uncultured Actinomycetales bacterium. Its description in RNAcentral is "bacterial SSU rRNA". It matches the Rfam family "Bacterial small subunit ribosomal RNA", at positions 58 to 745 of the family's 1533-position model. The record is from RNAcentral. Lineage: Bacteria; Bacillati; Actinomycetota; Actinomycetes; Actinomycetales.
CAAGUCGAACGGAAAGGCCCUGCUUGCAGGGUACUCGAGUGGCGAACGGGUGAGUAACACGUGGGUGAUCUGCCCUGCACUUCGGGAUAAGCUUGGGAAACUGGGUCUAAUACCAGAUAGGAACCAUCUUUAGUGUGGUGGUUGGAAAGUUUUUUCGGUGUAGGAUGAGCUCGCGGCCUAUCAGCUUGUUGGUGGGGUAAUGGCCUACCAAGGCGGCGACGGGUAGCCGGCCUGAGAGGGUGUACGGCCACAUUGGGACUGAGAUACGGCCCAGACUCCUACGGGAGGCAGCAGUGGGGAAUAUUGCACAAUGGGCGCAAGCCUGAUGCAGCGACGCCGCGUGGGGGAUGAAGGCCUUCGGGUUGUAAACUCCUUUCGCUAGGGACGAAGCUUUUUGGUGACGGUACCUAGAUAAGAAGCACCGGCUAACUACGUGCCAGCAGCCGCGGUAAUACGUAGGGUGCGAGCGUUGUCCGGAAUUACUGGGCGUAAAGGGCUCGUAGGUGGUUUGUCGCGUCGUCUGUGAAAUUCUGGGGCUUAACUCCGGGCGUGCAGGCGAUACGGGCAUAACUUGAGUGCUGUAGGGGUAACUGGAAUUCCUGGUGUAGCGGUGAAAUGCGCAGAUAUCAGGAGGAACACCGAUGGCGAAGGCAGGUUACUGGGCAGUUACUGACG